UUCAGAGAAGGAGGUGCAGGUACUGACUUGCAAGGUGUGGGGAAAAGAAAGAGAGAUCAGAUUGUUACUGUGUCUGUGUAGAAAGAAGUAGACAUAGGAAACUCCAUUUUGUUCUGUACUAAGAGAAAUUCUUCUGCCUUGAGAUGCUGUGAAUCUGUAACCUUACCCCCAACCCUGUGCUCUCUGAAACAUGUGCUGUGUCAACUCAGGGUUAAAUGGAUUAAGGGCUGUGCAGGAUGUGCUUUGUUAAACAGAUGCUUGAAGGCAGCAUGCUCGUUAUGAGUCAUCACCACUCCCUAAUCUCAAGUACCCAGGGACACAAACACUGCGGAAGGCCCGCAGGGACCUCUGCCUAGGAAAGCCAGAGACCUUUGUUCACGUGUUUAUCUGCUGACCUUCUCUCCACUAUUAUCCUAUGACCCUGCCACAUCCCCCUCUCCGAGAAACACCCAAGAAUGAUCAAUAAAUACUAAGGGAACUCAGAGGCCGGCGGGAUCCUCCAUAUGCUGAACGCUGGUCCCCUGGGCCCCCUUAUUUCUUUCUCUA
Long non-coding RNA from Symphalangus syndactylus (siamang), 546 nucleotides. RefSeq lists it as uncharacterized. The record is from RefSeq and is a predicted model, not a curated record. Lineage: Eukaryota; Metazoa; Chordata; Mammalia; Primates; Hylobatidae.